Molecule: long non-coding RNA, 1319 nt
Organism: Homo sapiens (human)
Lineage: Eukaryota; Metazoa; Chordata; Mammalia; Primates; Hominidae
Exons: 3
Source: RefSeq, a predicted model, not a curated record
CUGGAGGUCGGGGAGGACAUGGCCUCUGAAGUCCCAGGAGGCCGUGGUGACGCAGAGGGCCUGCCCUGUGCCCCCGCUGAUGGGAGCGGCCAUCAGGACACAGACCGGCAGACAAGAUAACAAGCAGUGUCCGCGAGUCAGCCCGACUCUCCCCCAGCCCCAGCAAGGCCUGGCUCGGCGCCCUGGACCACCCAGCUGCUGAAUAUCACACCAGGACCACCAAGCCUGCCUCUGCCCCAGGCCUGGAAGCUUCUCCCCACUCUCCCUGUGGCCAUCUCCUUCACACCCUUCAGUUCCAGCAUGGUCACCUCCUCCGUGAAGCCCUCCGUGAGUCCCCCAGCCAUCUCUGUGACUUCUCCUGGUUAUUUUCCAGAAUGACCAUGGACUUGUUUUUUCAUUUGUUCACUGUCCGUCUCUUCCUCUGGGAGGGAAAAUCCACGAAGUCAGGGACCUGGAGUUAUUUGCAGCUGUGUCAGUGCUGCUGGGGCGAGGCAUACACCUGUGACGGGACCUCAGGACGGGGACACGGGUCUGCAUGAGGAUUGUCUAACAGUCCCUACAAGACGCUGGGGCCACCAUGUACACUGGAGUCCUCUGGCAGCCAGUGUUCCCCGUUGUGCGGGGCUGGCCGUGACCACGCUGGAAACCCCCCGAUCCCCUUGUUGCUCCUGCCCUCCUGCAAGCACCUCCGCCGCCUCGACAAGCACAGCCUGGCCCCAGGGCCUCUCCCUCCCCUGGCCCCAGUCACCCCUACCUCCUCACCACCCCCUGUCAUCUCCCAUUGCUCCCCCUCCUUGCCAAGCUGCUCCUGACUCCCUGUCCCCUCCUCGAGCCAUCGGGAAGGCCUGCGUCCUGGCAGGCUCCAGUCUCUGCGGCUGCCCCUCCGGCAGGCCGCCGAGAAUCAGCGCGGCAUUGGGCCAGGCACGGUUUCCACGAGCUUCCUCCUUCUGAUCCUCCCCUCCGCCCCCCCCACCAAGCUCCCCAAAAUCUCUCACUCACACCCCAAAUCACCUGGGCCCCCCACCUCAAACCAGAGGCCAUCGGGGCAGAACCCAGCAAUUGUCACCGCCCUCUCACGAAGCGUCCCGUGCCCCCCGGAGCACAUGUCCACAGCGAGGCCCUUCACGGCUCUCAGAUCAGCUCCCCGCCUGCAGGUCCCAGCCGGCCCUGCUGUCGCUGCAGGUUGAGCUUCUCAUGAGUGAAGGCCCCGGUCACUCUGACGCCGCCAAAUAGUGGAGACAACACCAAGCUCUAAAGAUUUUCAAAGGGAGAGAGACAAAAAAAAAUGAAGGCCAGGUGUGGUGGCUCACACCUUUAAU